AACCUUAUGGACCUGCGGGCGUAUACCUGCGGAAGGAUCAUUAAUGCUUUAGCGGGUGUGUUGCGGCCCUCGAGGCCCCGUGCAUUCGCUGCACGGGAACAAGCUCCGGGAGGUGUAGGGUUCCCACGUGGGGGCCCUUUCACGCGCACAUGACUGAAUCCUUACUUUACUCGUACCUCUCGUUCUCCUUCGGCGGGGCAGCCUGCCGUUGGAACAGCCAAAACUCUUUUUUUUUUUGCA
Molecule: unclassified non-coding RNA, 240 nt
Filed under: soil metagenome
Description: partial contains 5.8S ribosomal RNA, internal transcribed spacer 2, and large subunit ribosomal RNA
Source: RNAcentral